CUUGAACGCUAGCGGGAUGCCUUACACAUGCAAGUCGAACGGAGUGGCGAACGGGUGAGUAAUGUAUCGGAACGUGCCCAGUAGCGGGGGAUAACUACGAGAAAGCGUAGCUAAUACCACUUACUCUUUGAGCGGUCGAUAUCGGACUAGCUAGUUGGUGGGGUAACGGCUCACCAAGGCCACGAUCCGUAGCUGGUUUGAGAGGACGACCAGCCACACUGAGACGAAGACAAGGCCAAGACUCCUCCGGGAGGCAGCAGUGGGGAAUUUUGGACAAUGGGGGAAACCCUGAUCCAGCCAUCCCGCGUGUGCGAUGAGGGCCUUCGGGUUGUAAAGCACUUUUGGCAGGAAAGCGGUACCUGCAGAAUAAGCACCGGCUAACUACGUGCCAGCAGCCGCGGUAAUAC
RNAcentral lists this ribosomal RNA (407 nucleotides) under uncultured bacterium. RNAcentral's name for it is "partial 16S ribosomal RNA". It matches the Rfam family "Bacterial small subunit ribosomal RNA", at positions 30 to 526 of the family's 1533-position model. The record is from RNAcentral.